GCUGGGUAUGGUGGCACAUGCCUGUAGUCCCAGCUACUUGAGAGGCUGAGGCAGCAGGAUCUCUUGAGCCCAGGAGCUCUGGGCUGUAGUACGCUCUGCUGGUGAGGUAUCCACACUAAGUUUGGCAUGAAUAUGGUGACCUCCCAGGAGAGGGAGUCACAAAUGGAACAGCUCAAAACUCCGGGGCUGGUCAGUAGUGGGACUGCACCCGUGAUUAGCCACUGCACUCCAGCCUGGGCAACAGUGAGACCCUCU
This 255-nucleotide signal recognition particle RNA is filed under the name Aotus nancymaae (Ma's night monkey). RNAcentral's name for it is "Metazoan signal recognition particle RNA (ENSANAG00000009876.1)". It matches the Rfam family "Metazoan signal recognition particle RNA". From Rfam's summary of the family: The signal recognition particle (SRP) is a universally conserved ribonucleoprotein. It is involved in the co-translational targeting of proteins to membranes. The record is from RNAcentral. Lineage: Eukaryota; Metazoa; Chordata; Mammalia; Primates; Aotidae.